RNAcentral lists this ribosomal RNA (253 nucleotides) under uncultured bacterium. Its description in RNAcentral is "partial 16S ribosomal RNA". It matches the Rfam family "Bacterial small subunit ribosomal RNA", at positions 524 to 776 of the family's 1533-position model. The record is from RNAcentral.
GACGAACCGUGCGAACGUUGUUCGGAUUCACUGGGCUUAAAGGGUGCGUAGGCGGGCUUGCAAGUCAGGGGUGAAAUCCUCCGGCUCAACCGGAGAACAGCCUUUGAUACUGCGAGCCUCGAGGAAGGUAGGGGCAUGUGGAACUUCCGGUGGAGCGGUGAAAUGCGUAGAUAUCGGAAGGAACGCCGGUGGCGAAAGCGACGUGCUGGACCUUUUCUGACGCUGAGGCACGAAAGCCAGGGGAGCAAACGGG